This is a long non-coding RNA of Leopardus geoffroyi (Geoffroy's cat), 1304 nucleotides long. RefSeq lists it as uncharacterized. Lineage: Eukaryota; Metazoa; Chordata; Mammalia; Carnivora; Felidae. The transcript is spliced from 3 exons. The record is from RefSeq and is a predicted model, not a curated record.
CUGCUAGUAAGUAGGGAAGCCAGUGUUCAAAUUAGGCAGCUAGCCUCCAAAGGACUAGUGGGUAGAUGGUAAAGUGAUACCUCAUCCACUGCAACGGUAUAUGAACACAGCACGGGUUGCCUCUCUAGGAAGUGCUUCCUUCAAAACAAGAGGCGUUCAGGCAAUGACUACCAGAGUGAGAACUUCAGCUGCACUUGGGAUUCAGGUCCCUGGUGAUACUCAGCUCUGCCAAUUCCACUGCAUUGCACUACUUAGUAUCGACACGCUUUUAUUUUCUAGGUUUGGACGGAUCCUAUAGAUAGAUUUUUCAUCUUUGUCAGAAAGUAUGUCAUUCAAAGAGCAGAGGAUCAGUUUGGGAUCCCAGGUGAUAUCCCGAUUCCUAUCUAAAGAAAAGGUCUUGGUUUGCACACCUGUUCUGAAACUGCCUCUCUGCCUUCGUCUUGGAAGCGGACGGCAAUCUGAGCUUGUCAAAGUUUCUGUUCUAAAGCCAGUCUCUGCAGUGGGAAAGAUGCUACACGGCACCUGCAGUGCACAUUACUCUCAAGCAAGCUCCAGUCAGAAUGGACGUCAAGGUUCAAGCACGGCCAUGAGGCUAAAGAUAAUCCUGAUAAUAAGAGGCCAGGACACCAUUCAAGUCUCACCACCCAUUAUACAGCUUUCAAAACAAAGGAGUUUGAUAACGUGCUGAGUUCAUCAUCCAGCCAUGAAUUAAUUAAGAUGAGUAUACUUGCGACCAAGGUACCUGGAAGCAAAUUUUUCUUUUUUCUGAGGUGGGAGGCAAGGAUAUAACAUUGAUGCAAUCUGGCAACAAGACUGAAAACAUCCACUGGACACCUCAUUAGUUCCAUACACUGUACUGGAGACCAGACUGUUGGAACAAUCCAAGUAGGAAAAUAUCGGUGUUGCUGCCCUCAAGGACCUGAGUAUCGUCGGGAAAUGAAUGAACCACUCAAAGACCUCUCCUGCCAAAAAUAGAAGAGCUGGAACAGGUACUAUGACCUAGAGUAAAGCUGGGGAGAGAACUUUCUCAGGGUAGCUCACUCAGGAAUGCCCCAUCUUUAGGAACAUACACGGCACAAAGUAAGGAUUCUGCAUGAGAAAACUUCUUUUGAAUUUUGUCUUAAACAAUCAAUAAGACUUUGUCAUAUGGGGGGAAAAAAAGGAGUUACUCAGGGUAAAAAGCAGGAGUAAGUAGAGGAAUAGAAAUGGAACAUUUUGGGGCACCUGGGUGGCUCAGUUGGUUAAUUGUCUGAUUAAUCAUGACUCGGGUCAUGAUCUCAUGGUUCGUGGGUUCGAGCCCCAUG